UGCUCCUAGUACGAGAGGACCGGAGUGGACGCAUCACUGGUGUUCGGGUUGUCAUGCCAAUGGCACUGCCCGGUAGCUAAAUGCGGAAGAGAUAAGUGCUGAAAGCAUCUAAGCACGAAACUUGCCCCGAGAUGAGUUCUCCCUGAGACUUUAAGUCGCCAGAAGGAACGUUAAAGACGAUGACGUUGAUAGGCCGGGUGUGUAAGCGCAGCGAUGCGUUGAGCUAACCGGUACUAAUGAACCGU
This 245-nucleotide ribosomal RNA is filed under the name Acinetobacter baumannii. Its description in RNAcentral is "partial 23S ribosomal RNA". It matches the Rfam family "Bacterial large subunit ribosomal RNA", at positions 2673 to 2912 of the family's 2925-position model. Lineage: Bacteria; Pseudomonadati; Pseudomonadota; Gammaproteobacteria; Moraxellales; Moraxellaceae. The record is from RNAcentral.